UACGUAGGUGGCAAGCGUUGUCCGGAUUUACUGGGCGUAAAGAGCGCGCAGGCGGUCGUUCAAGUCGCGUGUGAAAGCCCCCGGCUCAACUGGGGAGGGUCACGCGAUACUGAUCGACUGGAAGGCAGGAGAGGGUAGUGGAAUUCCCGGUGUAGUGGUGAAAUGCGUAGAUAUCGGGAGGAAUACCGAUGGCGAAGGCAGGUCUCUGGGCCAAUACUGACGCUCAUGCACGAAAGCGUGGGGAGCAAACAGG
Molecule: ribosomal RNA, 253 nt
Filed under: uncultured bacterium
Lineage: Bacteria
Description: partial 16S ribosomal RNA
Rfam family: Bacterial small subunit ribosomal RNA
Source: RNAcentral